RNAcentral lists this ribosomal RNA (549 nucleotides) under uncultured Scyllarus. RNAcentral describes it as "SSU rRNA". It matches the Rfam family "Eukaryotic small subunit ribosomal RNA", at positions 618 to 1164 of the family's 1831-position model. Lineage: Eukaryota; Metazoa; Arthropoda; Malacostraca; Decapoda; Scyllaridae. The record is from RNAcentral.
GUUAAAAAGCUCGUAGUUGGAUUUCAGUUCCGGACUGACGGUUCACCGCCCGGUGUUUACUGUCACGCUCCGAACAGCCGCACCGCCGGCUCGCACGGGGUGCUCUUCAUCGAGUGUCCCGAGUGGCCGGCAAGUUUACUUUGAAAAAAUUAGAGUGCUCAGAGCAGGCUCAUUCAACGGCCUGAAUGUCUAUGCAUGGAAUAAUGGAAUAGGACCUCGGUUCUAUUUUGUUGGUUUUCGGAACCAGAGGUAAUGACUAAUAGGAACAGGCGGGGGCAUUCGUAUUGCGACGCUAGAGGUGAAAUUCUUGGACCGUCGCAAGACGAACUACUGCGAAAGCAUUUGCCAAGGAUGUUUUCAUUAAUCAAGAACGAAAGUUAGAGGUUCGAAGGCGAUCAGAUACCGCCCUAGUUCUAACCAUAAACGAUGCUGACUAGCGAUCCGCCGGCGUUAUUCCCAUGACCCGGCGGGCAGCUUCCGGGAAACCAAAGUCUUUGAGUUCCGGGGGAAGUAUGGUUGCAAGCUGAAACUUAAGGAAUUGAGGAGGGG